This 492-nucleotide ribosomal RNA is filed under the name uncultured bacterium. Its description in RNAcentral is "partial 16S ribosomal RNA". It matches the Rfam family "Bacterial small subunit ribosomal RNA", at positions 29 to 507 of the family's 1533-position model. The record is from RNAcentral.
AGUGAACGCUGGCGGUAGGCCUAACACAUGCAAGUCGAACGGCAGCACAGUAAGAGCUUGCUCUUACGGGUGGCGAGUGGCGGACGGGCGAGGAAUACAACGGACUCUACUUUUUCGUGGGGGUUAACGUAGGGAAACUUACGCUAAUACCGCAUACGACCUACGGGUGAAAGCAGGGGAUCUUUGGACCUUGCGCGGUUGAAUGAGCCGAUGUCGGAUUUGCUAGUUGGCGGGGUAAAUGCCCAGCAGGGGGACGAUCCGUAGCUGGUCUGAGAGGAGGGUCAGCCGCACGGGAACUUAGACACGGUCCAUGCUCCUACGGGAGGCAGCAGUGGGGAAUAUUGGACAAUGGGCGCAAGCCUGAUCCAGUCAUACCGCGUGGGUUAAGGAGACGUUGGGGUUGUAAAGCCCUUUUGUUGGGAAAGAAAAGCAGCAGGUUAAGACCCCGCUGUUCUGACGGUACCCAAAGAAUAAGCACCGGCUAACUUCGUG